GCCGGCUUGCGCGGCGCCUUUGGCGCGCCGUCCUUGCUGCGCGCGGCGCGCGGUGCCGGCGCCGCGGCCGGCGC
RNAcentral lists this transfer RNA (74 nucleotides) under Burkholderia plantarii. RNAcentral's name for it is "tRNA-Ser". Lineage: Bacteria; Pseudomonadati; Pseudomonadota; Betaproteobacteria; Burkholderiales; Burkholderiaceae. The record is from RNAcentral.